CAAAGGAAUAGACGGGGGCCCGCACAAGCGGAGGAACAUGUGGUUUAAUUCGAUGAUACGCGAGGAACCUUACCCGGGCUCGAACGGUGCAUGAAUGGACAAGAGAUUGUUCAGACCUUAGGGACAUGUAUCGAGGUGCUGCAUGGUUGUCGUCAGCUCGUGCCGUGAGGUGUCGGCUUAAGUGCCAUAACGAGCGCAACCCUUGUCAUUAGUUACCAUCAGGUAGAGCUGGGGACUCUAAUGAGACUGCCACCGUAAGGUGAGAGGAAGGGGGGGAUGACGUCAAAUCAGCA
Molecule: ribosomal RNA, 293 nt
Filed under: uncultured eukaryote
Lineage: Eukaryota
Description: partial 18S ribosomal RNA
Rfam family: Bacterial small subunit ribosomal RNA
Source: RNAcentral